UUUAACGGCCGCGGUAUUAUAACCGUGCAAAGGUAGCGUAAUCAUUUGUCUUUUAAAUGAAGACCUGUAUGAAUGGCACCACGAGGGUUUAACUGUCUCCUCCCCCCAGUCAAUGAAAUUGAUCUGCCCGUGCAGAAGCGGGCAUAACAACAUAAGACGAGAAGACCCUAUGGAGCUUUAGGCUAACGACCCAAGCAUGUAAAAGUUUCACAAGAAAAGAAACUUAACCCAAUGCCCAAUGGUUCACGCCUUCGGUUGGGGCGACCACGGGGAAAAGAAAAGCCCCCGAAUGGAAUGAAGAUAUACUCCAAACCAAGAGGUACACCUCUAAGUAACAGAAAUCUGACCAAAUUGACCCGGGAUAACCGAUCAAUGAACCAAGUUACCCUAGGGAUAACAGCGCAAUCCUUUCCCAGAGUUCCUAUCGACGAAAGGGUUUACGACCUCGAUGUUGGAUCAGGACAUCCUAAUGGUGAAGCCGCUAUUAAGGGCUCGUUUGUUCAACGAUUAAAGUCCU
RNAcentral lists this ribosomal RNA (517 nucleotides) under Lamnostoma orientalis. RNAcentral's name for it is "partial large subunit ribosomal RNA". It matches the Rfam family "Bacterial large subunit ribosomal RNA", at positions 1923 to 2597 of the family's 2925-position model. Lineage: Eukaryota; Metazoa; Chordata; Actinopteri; Anguilliformes; Ophichthidae. The record is from RNAcentral.